AGCUCGAUUAAGCUCAGCAUGUAAAUGCAGUGAGUGGAGCCCCGAUUCGACGAUUCAACAUGGCAACGGGGAAGCGGAGGGCUGCGAAGUGGAAAUCCUAAUGCGCUAAUACGGCGAAUUUCAACACCUUUUUAGAAAGAAGUGCAACACCUAUGAAACUGUAAAAGAGAGGGAGACCGGAUGGGAGAACAUCGCUGCUCGGGUGCAAUCCCGAGGGGGAGAAGUGCACUUGGCAGCAGCUUAAGAUGAAAUAUAAAAACAUUGUUCAAACAGACAUAAAUGUCUUGUCAUCUAUAUCAUAAACCAGAAUACUGGAAGGCAUGUGGCUGAGGCAAUCCCUGGAAGGAGCUCAUCCUCUGAGUCCACCCCCCAAGACACAACUCGCCUAUGACUGAGUAAAUGAAAGAGGAAAUCAAAUGGCGUGUGUGGCUGAAAGAGGGCGGAGACAGAGAGAAACUCGAGGUCCAUGGAGUAAAACCUGGUCCCGACCAGGUUAGGUUCAUAGAGUCUGUUACUAUGGUAACUGACUGAUAACUGAAGUUACCUCUCUGUGUGAAACAGGCUAGAGU
Long non-coding RNA from Mugil cephalus (flathead mullet), 569 nucleotides. RefSeq lists it as uncharacterized. NCBI's taxonomy places the organism in Eukaryota, Metazoa, Chordata, Actinopteri, Mugiliformes, Mugilidae. The transcript has 3 exons. The record is from RefSeq and is a predicted model, not a curated record.